CAUGCAUUAGUAUAAUAUUAACUCCAAUACUGUACAUAAUAUUUUUAUUAUACUCUUACAUUCACAUUCACUACAACACUUUUAACAUUUAAUUACAUUCAGCAAUAACGUUUUUAAAAAAACGUUAUCUAAUAGUUAUUGGGUCUUAUUAAUUAUUGGGCCUUAGAGAGUUAUUCAAAAUUGGGCUCAUUUGAAUUGGGCAUUCUUAUUGUUGGGUACAGUAGCCUUGAAGAAGAAAGGCUAGGUUUCUUCGUGCUUCAGCUCAGCGCCCCCAAGGAUAAUCGCUGGUGCUUCGUGCUCAACUCCUCCGACGACAUGAAUUUCGAGUGUCUAGGUCUCCUCCGGUGAACGGCGAUCCAAGGUAUUUACUGUAAACUUUUUUUCAGUAUGUGUGAAAUUAUUUCAGUAUUUACGGUAAGCUUUCUCACCCAUUCUUCUAUUUCCGUUGAUUGUACUCUGCCGCGGUUCAUUUCCGAUCAUCUACUCCGGUUGAAAAUGGCUUCCGCCCAAUCAUCUCUCUGGCAAAGCAUCUGAAGACCACUCCACUGGAAUCACCGCUCACUUCUCCUUCUCAAUUUACUCUACCUCUCUGAUCACUAAAGCCCUCCUCCCAAGGUUUUCUCCUUCUUCCCAUUCCUAAUUUACUCUCCCUCUCUUUUCGUCUUUUAAUUUCAAUUUCUUCUCUGCUUUUUGCAGCUUGAUCAUUCUCUGUUCGUGGAAAUCGAUCGGUGGGGCAAUCGAUUCAUUCACGGUUACAACUUUUGAUUUCAUACUUAUUCAUUUACUUGUGGUUUAAGUGUAUAAUCGUGGUGGUAUUAUUUAAAGAUUUUGCUUGAAGGCUAGUUUGUAGCUGAGAAAAAAUAGUUAAAUAAUUUGGACAUCAUGUUUGAUAAAAGUUGGUUACGCUUCAACAGAGCCUCAAAUGAGUAUAAGGAAGGUGCUAGGAGUUUUGUAGAGACAAUAGAGAAAGAGGCUAAUUAUCCAGAAAAGUUAUUAUGUCCAUGUAAAUUUUGUCGAAACUUAAGUCACCAAAAGGUCAAUUUGCUUUAUGAGCACUUGGUCAUAAAUGGAAUUGAUCCUACAUACACAAUUUGGUUUCAUCACGGGGAAGAAGCACCUAGAAGUGAUGAUAUUGAGGAAAUGAAUUCUUUUGAUGCUUUUAAUUUGUUUAGUGCUACAAAUAUUGAUGUUUGUGAUUCUGAAGAACCUGUAGAAGGCCCUGAUGACAACUUCAUCAAAAAAUUAGAAGAUGCACAAAUCGCAUUAUAUCCACAGUGCACAAAAUACACUAAGUUGUCAGCUAUUAUUGCUUUAUAUAAGGUUAAGACAACUAAUGGAUGGUCUGACAAGAGUUUUGAUGAGAUUCUCAAUCUUUUUCAUGAUAUGCUUCCAUGUGAUAACGUGCUUCUCAAGUCCACGUACUCAGUUAGGAAAUAUCUUCAAACAUUUGACUUAGGAUAUGAAAAGAUUCAUGCUUGUGUAAAUAAUUGUUGUUUGUUUAGAAAAGAUAAGGAGAAGUUAGAAGAAUGUCCAACAUGUGGAACUUCUCGUUGGGCGACAGAUAAACUUACUAACAAGGUUCGAAAAGGUAUUCCAGCAAAAGUUUUGAGGUAUUUUCCUAUAAUUCCAAGGUUCAAACGAAUGUUUAAAUCUGAAAGAAUGGCUAAGGAUUUACGAUGGCAUCACAAUAAUAAGAGUAACGAUGGGAAAAUGCGUCACCCGGUAGAUUCUGUUGCUUGGGAAUUAGUGAAUGAGAGAUGGCCUGCUUUUUCCAAAGAAGAACGAAAUCUCAGACUUGGACUUUCUACCGAUGGUUUUAAUCCUUUUAGUAAUUUGAGUAGUAAACAUAGUGUUUGGCCUGUGAUGAUCGUUAUGUAUAACUUACCCCCAUGGUUAUGCAUGAAAAAAGAAAAUAUUUUAUUGUCAUUGUUAAUUCCAGGACCGAAGCAACCUGGGAAUGACAUUGAUGUAUAUUUAAAACCACUCAUCGAGGACUUGAAUACAUUAUGGAAUGAGGGAGUUGAGCUCCAUGAUGCUUUUGUAAACAAAACUUUUACAUUGAGAGCAAUUUUGAUGUGGACCAUCCAAGAUUUUCCAGCCUAUGGGAACCUUGCUGGAUGUAAAACUAAAGGGUAUUAUGUGGACCUGUUCAAUUUCGAUGGAUGUAUCCCUUUGAGAGACAUAUGAAGACACUAAAAGCAUAUGUCAGAAAUCAAGCAAGGCCUGAAGGUUGUAUUGCAGAGUCCUAUCUUGCAGAUGAGUGUAUGAAUUUUUGUAAUGAAUUCAUUAAGUCAACAAUUGGGUUGAACAAAAAAAGCAUCGCAACGAAGAGUGGGUCAAUGAUGUGUUAUUUGAGGGUCGUCCAAUUUCUAGAAAGCAUGACUUUACAAUGACAGAUGAGUGGUUAGAAAUUGCACACCGAUACGUUCUACUGAAUACAUCUAUUGUGGAGCCUUUUCUAGAGAUGCAUAAGGACGAGUUAAGGAAAACCAACCAAAUUUAUGCAAGAAAUAGUGGCUUGCUUUGGAAAAGGCAUGUAGAGACAUUUCCAAAAUGGCUGAAGGAAAAGGUUCCUAUUGAUAAGGGUGAAGAAAAUGAUUUGUUGAAAUGGUUAGCAUAUGGACCUAGGAAACAAGCAAUAUCUUGCACAGGAUUCAUCAUCAAUGGUCAAAGAUUCAAUGUAGAAGAUGAUAAAAAGACAACACAGAAUAGUGGUGUUUCUAUUGAUGCAACAACCAUGUGUAGAUCCAGUGCUAAAGAUCAAUCACAAGUUGCAGAUGUGGUUUCCUACUAUGGAGUCCUAAAAGAGAUAAUCUUGUUAGAUUAUCACACAUUUCAAAUUCCACUUUUUAGAUGUCUAUGGGCUAAUGUUCCUAAUGGUAUUAGGAUCGAAGAUGGCCUCACAUUAGUUAACUUAGAGGAAAGUCAAUCACAAUUUGUUAAAGACCCUUUCAUUUUAGCUUCACAAGCUAAACAAGUUUUCUACUCUAGAGAACGUGAUUCUAGUUGGCAUGUAGUAAUGAUGGCACGCCCAAGAGGAUUUUAUGAAUUGGAAUAUUAUGAUAGGCAUGAGUAUAUGCCCAUCAUUUUAGAAAAUAAUAUUGAAACUAGGUUGGAUGAUGUAGUUGAAGAAGACCAAUAUGUGAGAGUGGAUUGUGAAGGCACCUUAGUUUGAAUAAUGUUGUUGUUUUUGUCUCGUGUGAUGUCUUUUGUACUGUUCUUUUAGGAGUUUUGUUUUCUCAGACAUUUUGAAUAAUGUUGGAGUUUUGCUACAAGAGAAGAUGACCAUGAAGCUGAAAAACGUCAAGAAGAAUAAAGAGAGCAAGAUACAAGAGACACAAAAAGAUGAACUUCUCAAAGCUAAAAACUCUGUAUUGCUACAAAGGAAGACACGUCGAAAAAUGAUAGUGAGAGACUCUUCUGAAGAUGAGGAAACACCCGGACAAGAGAAAGAGAUAUGUUCCACUAAGAGAAAGAGAUCUCUUAGGAAGAAAGCCUCUCGGUCCAAAACACCCAUUCCAAUAUCUCUUACUCCCAUCUCAAAUUCUCCAACAGUAAAUACUAGGUCCAAAACACCUCAAAUUUCUAUCACAAUGCCUACCAUAGACUCCCCUGCACUAAACACUAGGGGCUCUUGAAGAAGGAGGUCCAUAGGCUCGUCACCUGUUCUUGAUGAUGUUGCUCCCCCUUUAGAAGAGCCUAUGGAAAAGAAAAAAAGAGGUGAAACUAAAAUGAAAUCAGUUGCUACAAGUAGUGAGGGUCGAUUACCUAAUUAAGGAAUUAAUGAGGUAUAAAGCCUUAUAGUUGUCACGUAUAGUUUCCAUAAUUGUCUAAUGAGCAAUGCUAUAAUUAAAUA
Molecule: RNA transcript, 3856 nt
Organism: Cannabis sativa
Lineage: Eukaryota; Viridiplantae; Streptophyta; Magnoliopsida; Rosales; Cannabaceae
Exons: 9
Source: RefSeq, a predicted model, not a curated record